This is a long non-coding RNA of Jatropha curcas, 520 nucleotides long. RefSeq lists it as uncharacterized. NCBI's taxonomy places the organism in Eukaryota, Viridiplantae, Streptophyta, Magnoliopsida, Malpighiales, Euphorbiaceae. The record is from RefSeq and is a predicted model, not a curated record.
CCUUCAAAAUCAAGUCCCUUUCUAUUACAUCUAGGGGCUUGGAAAAAAUAGGGUUCUAAAAUAAGAAAAUUGAAAGAGGAGAUUAGAGAGAAUAGAAUUAUUUCUUCCUUGGAGAUGGAAAAUGAAGUUUCAGAUGCAGGAAGUAGUGCAUCAUUCGCACUUCUUGGACAGAUUGGAACCUAAGUAGAAGGUUUAUGUGAUGAGUUGAGAAGUGUGAGGCAGACUACUGGGUGCAAUUUCGUCGAAUGGGUUUAUCCCGCCAUUUGCAAUAGAUCGAAGCAGAUAAUUUCUAGUUUGCUUAGAAAAAAAACUUAUUGGAAGAUCAAUUAAGGAGGCGACAGAGAAGAGAGAAAUGGUUAUGGUGUAGUCUUGUUAUUUUUGUUGUUGUAAUCUUCUUGAAGUGAGAGUGACAGUAGUAGUUGUAGCUAUGCGUAUGUUAUGUUUGACGAAAUGCUUCAAUGAAUUUGAACUGGAGGUUGGACUUGUUUUUCAAUAGGGCUUACUUUUAUUUUUUGGGUAA